UACAGAGGGGGCAAGCGUUAUUCGGAAUUAUUGGGCGUAAAGGGCGCGUAGGCGGCCGAUCAAGUCGGGGGUGAAAGCCUGUGGCUCAACCACAGAAUUGCCUUCGAUACUGUUUGGCUUGAGACCGGAAGAGGUUAGUGGAACUGCGAGUGUAGAGGUGAAAUUCGUAGAUAUUCGCAAGAACACCAGUGGCGAAGGCGGCUGACUGGUCCGGUUCUGACGCUGAGGCGCGAAAGCGUGGGGAGCAAACAGG
Molecule: ribosomal RNA, 253 nt
Filed under: uncultured bacterium
Lineage: Bacteria
Description: partial 16S ribosomal RNA
Rfam family: Bacterial small subunit ribosomal RNA
Source: RNAcentral